UACGUAGGGUGCGAGCGUUAAUCGGAAUUACUGGGCGUAAAGCGUGCGCAGGCGGUGAUGUAAGACCGAUGUGAAAUCCCCGGGCUUAACCUGGGAACUGCAUUGGUGACUGCAUUGCUGGAGUAUGGCAGAGGGGGGUGGAAUCCCACGUGUAGCAGUGAAAUGCGUAGAGAUGUGGAGGAACACCGAUGGCGAAGGCAGCCCCCUGGGCCAAUACUGACGCUCAUGCACGAAAGCGUGGGGAGCAAACAGG
This 253-nucleotide ribosomal RNA is filed under the name uncultured bacterium. Its description in RNAcentral is "partial 16S ribosomal RNA". It matches the Rfam family "Bacterial small subunit ribosomal RNA", at positions 524 to 776 of the family's 1533-position model. The record is from RNAcentral.